AGUGUUGCGCCGGAGGAACGGGCUACAUUGAUGUUGUAGAGCAUGAGACUUCGCGUCUUCGACACUU
Molecule: transfer RNA, 67 nt
Filed under: Perotrochus quoyanus
Lineage: Eukaryota; Metazoa; Mollusca; Gastropoda; Pleurotomariida; Pleurotomariidae
Description: tRNA-Ile
Source: RNAcentral